UGUGUUUUUGUUGAAUGGCGAUUUUAUCAAGUGAUGAGACGCACCAUCGCAUUCGACGGUGUACCUGGAAUGUAGAAGCAACAGGACAGCGAUUUAUUCCUCUUAUUCUGGGAUUAUCUCACACUUCAAGCACAAAUUUCUCUGAGAAAAAUUUGUUUAUCUACAUUUUAUUACAGGGAGGGAAAGAUAAUUGGAGAUUUGCUGAGAAGCAGCGAUGGCGGAAUUUGGGUAUUUGCUCAAAGCUUCAGACAGACUGAAGUUGUCAAUGAAAAUCACAAGUACUCCGUACUUCUGGAUGCUUGUACAGGCUAUUGCAAUCAAACAGAGGUACUGCAUGCUAGUCCUCGUCUCUUUCUGAGAAAUGAACGUGAAAAGGCACUAAUCUUUUUUAUGUAAACAGAGGUAUCUUGCAUUCGUAUUUCAGUACAGCUAUGGGAAGAAGGGGGAUGUGUAAUCCACUAAUCCUGAAAUUCUACCUGCAGAAAUUCAUCGAAAGAAAAGUAGUAGUUAACACUCAAGACUAUUCGCAAUUUUAUUGGCCUGCUGAUUACAUAAAAAAGAUUGAGACCUUUCACACGCCAUGAGGUCUUCUUUCUGGAUCUCCAUAUUUUUGCUUGCGCCGACAUGUGGGAAGCUAAAGGCCUAGCUAAACACAAGCUCUUCCUCUAAUUAGCAGUUCAGCGGCAUUGAUGGACGAUUGACCUUCUGUUAAAGCGCGGAAUCGACGACCAUUUGGUUUGCCCCUUCUAUGCUCAAGAGCUUGAGACGGCGAACUAUAUAUUACUUGAUUGUGUGUUCUCUUUUCGCCAUUGCGUUGUGUAUUUUGAAUUCUGGUUUUUUCUAAUAUAUUAUCGUGUAAAUUUUUUGUGCAUUCGCGAAAAAAUCAGGUAAAGAUGAUGCUUGGGUUCCGGAUGACUUGUUUCCUAAUUUUCUCUUGUUCAAAUGGUCAGUUCCGUAUUUCUGAUGCAUGGGCUAGCUGUAUGCAUUGUGCACAUGUGCACUAUCAUAUCCUUCUGAUCGUGCAUGGUGCUAACAUUUCCCUCCGUGAUUGAAGGGAAAUAUUUCCUGUCAUCUUUAAGGCAACUUGGGAACUGGCUCGCCGAAAUUGACAGGAUUUUGUCCGUGAUUGAAGGAUCGGCAGGACAUACCUUCGCCAGCUUCAAGUUCAAUAUGGAAUGGCCAGCCAGCCGUUAGUGGAAGAUAUGGCAGUUGUUCCUCAUAUUCUGAGUGUGUCCCAUACUUCAAGCACAAGUGCACAAGUUAUGUGAAGAAAAGCUUAGUCAGUCAGUUUGCAUUUUACAGUGACAGAGAGGGCCUGAAUUGGAGAGUUUCUCAAAGCCUCAUACGUAGUGUAAAUCGAGUAAAGGCUAAACAGUUUGGCAUUGGCAGUAUCAGGAAACGUUACCGAGAGAGAACACACGGAGGUGCAGUAGUUUAACACAAGACAUGGACACCAGCUAUCACAAGAGGCGAGACGAUUCCGGCAGAAAUGUCCAGAAUCCCUCGUAUUCUGCUUGGUGAAAUAAACAAAGCAUAUAUUUUUGCUUUUUCCUUGUGAUAGAUCGAGGAUGCAGACCGCAGAUGCACCCGUUCGAGACACUACAAAACAACACGUCCAAUGCACUAGAGUGUAGAGGGUCCAGAGAAGGUCUUAUAUAGCAUUAAUCUACACUGUCAAGUUGCUUCCAUGGUAAAUAACAUACUAAUAGUAAGGUUUGCUUCUCCA
Molecule: non-coding RNA, 1726 nt
Organism: Oryza sativa Japonica Group (Japanese rice)
Lineage: Eukaryota; Viridiplantae; Streptophyta; Magnoliopsida; Poales; Poaceae
Source: RefSeq, a predicted model, not a curated record